AACGAACGCUGGCGGCAUGCCUAACACAUGCAAGUCGAACGAGACCUUCGGGUCUAGUGGCGCACGGGUGCGUAACGCGUGGGAACCUGCCCUUAGGUUCGGAAUAACUCCCCGAAAGGGGUGCUAAUACCGGAUAAUGUCUUCGGACCAAAGAUUUAUCGCCUUUGGAUGGGCCCGCGUUGGAUUAGCUAGUUGGUAGGGUAAAAGCCUACCAAGGCGACGAUCCAUAGCUGGUCUGAGAGGAUGAUCAGCCACACUGGGACUGAGACACGGCCCAGACUCCCAGGGGAGGCAGCAGGGGGGAAUAUUGGACAUGGGGCGAAAGCCUGAUCCAGCAGGGCCGGGUGAGUGAGGAAGGCCUUGGGGUUGUAAAGCUCUUUUCCCCGGGAGGAUAAUGACAGUACCGGGAGAAAAAGCCCCGGCUAACUCCGU
RNAcentral lists this ribosomal RNA (432 nucleotides) under uncultured bacterium. RNAcentral's name for it is "partial 16S ribosomal RNA". It matches the Rfam family "Bacterial small subunit ribosomal RNA", at positions 29 to 506 of the family's 1533-position model. The record is from RNAcentral.